AGGGCUAGCCGGGCCGAAAUACCGGCUUCUAACCAGUAUUUGGGGGUUCGACUCCUCCGUGCCC
Molecule: transfer RNA, 64 nt
Filed under: Tubifex tubifex (sludge worm)
Lineage: Eukaryota; Metazoa; Annelida; Clitellata; Tubificida; Naididae
Description: tRNA-Ser
Source: RNAcentral